RNAcentral lists this unclassified non-coding RNA (220 nucleotides) under uncultured Tomentella. Its description in RNAcentral is "partial internal transcribed spacer 2". The record is from RNAcentral. Lineage: Eukaryota; Fungi; Basidiomycota; Agaricomycetes; Thelephorales; Thelephoraceae.
ACACCUCAACUCUCGUGGUUUGCGCCACGAUGAGCUUGGACUUUGGGGGUCUUGCUGGCCUGUGGUCGGCUCCUCUCAAAUGAAUCAGCUUCCCAGUGUUUGGUGGCGUCGCAGGUGUGAUAACUAUCUACGCUUGUGGUUUUCCACCAGAUAACCUUCAGUGAUGGAGGUUCGCUGGGGCUCAUAAACGUCUUUCCUCAGUGAAGACAGCUUUUUGAAC